This is a long non-coding RNA of Talpa occidentalis (Iberian mole), 771 nucleotides long. RefSeq lists it as uncharacterized. The record is from RefSeq and is a predicted model, not a curated record. The transcript has 3 exons. Lineage: Eukaryota; Metazoa; Chordata; Mammalia; Eulipotyphla; Talpidae.
CCGGGGAGUGUAACGCUUUUUCAGUUUAGCUGCUGCUCAUAACAGCUGUGCGGCGUCUGGAAGCACUGUGUGGAAAGGCAAAUUACGGUAAAAGUAGGUCCCAACUCUACCACAUGGUCAGCUAAUUUAUCUCGCCUUCUGAACCUGUUAGCUCGGCUCAGAAAUGGAGGCCAUCGUAUGUCUUAGAAUAAUACCAGCUUCUUGGAUUGCUAUGAAGAAAAUGGAAGAGCCAACCCUCAAAUUCACUUGAAAUUGCAAGGAGCUCAGGCUAUCCAAAGCAAUCUCAAAAUAGAAGAAAAAGUUGCAAGACUGAGAUUUCCAGAUUUCAAAACUUACAAAGAGUGACACCAAGCAAGUUUUCAGGAGCUCCAGAAACAGCAGAGACGUGUAGUGAGAGCAUUCUGACUAGAAAAACGAAAGGAACCCUGAAGAUCAAUGUCAGCCCUGAACACACCCACCCCUGGGGUGUAGAAUGAGUGUUUUCCACUAGAAUGCGACCCAGUAUCUAGGCUGGCGGCUUCCCUUGGUUUCCCUUGAGGAAAGCUGGCUUAAGCAUCAAAGAGAGUGGAGCAGACCUGGUUUUAAGUCAAGGCCUCCGCCAAGUAGCCAGGCGUGCACACAUCCCUGGAAAGGUCUUAUCCCUCCCACCUUCUCCUCCCUCUAAACCCAGCCCCAGGCACCUGGAUUUGUUUAUUUUUAUUCAAGAACUGGGGUAAAGGCCAGAUGUGCGGCAGGUUGAGAGGAUUCACUAGAGACAGAGCGGGGAGUGGA